This 301-nucleotide ribosomal RNA is filed under the name uncultured bacterium. RNAcentral's name for it is "partial 16S ribosomal RNA". It matches the Rfam family "Bacterial small subunit ribosomal RNA", at positions 509 to 807 of the family's 1533-position model. The record is from RNAcentral.
CAGUAGCCGCGGGAAAACGAAGGGUGCAAGCGUUACUCGGAAUUACUGGGCGUAAAGCGUGCGUAGGUGGUGGUUUAAGUCCGUUGUGAAAGCCCUGGGCUCAACCUGGGAAUUGCAGUGGAUACUGGGUCACUAGAGUGUGGUAGAGGAUAGUGGAAUUUCCGGUGUAGCAGUGAAAUGCGUAGAGAUCGGAAGGAACAUCUGUGGCGAAGGCGACUAUCUGGGCCAACACUGACACUGAGGCACGAAAGCGUGGGGAGCAAACAGGAUUAGAUACCCCGGUAGUCCCUGUCUCUUAUAC